GAUGAACGCUGGCGGCGUGCCUAACACAUGCAAGUCGAGCGGUAGCACAGAGAGCUUGCUCUCGGGUGACGAGCGGCGGACGGGUGAGUAAUGUCUGGGAAACUGCCUGAUGGAGGGGGAUAACUACUGGAAACGGUAGCUAAUACCGCAUAACGUCGCAAGACCAAAGUGGGGGACCUUCGGGCCUCAUGCCAUCAGAUGUGCCCAGAUGGGAUUAGCUGGUAGGUGGGGUAACGGCUCACCUAGGCGACGAUCCCUAGCUGGUCUGAGAGGGUGACGAGCGACACUGGAACGGGGACACGGGCCAGACUCCUACGGGGGGCAGCAGUGGGGAAUAUUGCACAAUGGGCGCAAGCCUGAUGCAGCCAUGCCGCGUGUGUGAAGAAGGCCUUCGGGUUGUAAAGCACUUUCAGCGGGGAGGAAGGCGAUGAGGUUAAUAACCUCAUCGAUUGACGUUACCCGCAGAAGAAGCACCGGCUAACUCCGUGCCAGCCGCCGCCGUAA
RNAcentral lists this ribosomal RNA (504 nucleotides) under uncultured bacterium. RNAcentral's name for it is "partial 16S ribosomal RNA". It matches the Rfam family "Bacterial small subunit ribosomal RNA", at positions 28 to 523 of the family's 1533-position model. The record is from RNAcentral.